RNAcentral lists this long non-coding RNA (462 nucleotides) under Homo sapiens (human). Its description in RNAcentral is "novel transcript". Lineage: Eukaryota; Metazoa; Chordata; Mammalia; Primates; Hominidae. The record is from RNAcentral.
CUGAGUACACAUUAAUCUGAGCUCCCUCAGCCCUAGGGGUAGGGGGAUUGGGGGCACAAGAUGGGUGGAGCCAGAUAGGGAAGAUUCCCCCAGUGUUGUCCUGCUCCCAGUCCAGGUUUGGGACAAUGCCGGCAGCGUUUCCCUGUGUCUUUCCCCCACAAAGUCUCCAAGUCUUUCCUCAAAUGAUCGUCAAGGUUUGGGAGAAACAAUCUCUUCCUCUGCCCGGGUUGCGUGGAUCUCCAGUGGAAAGGAAGAACCGGAACUAUGGUUUGUGCCUGCCUUAUUGCCUCCAAAAUAUUUUUAACUGCAGAGGUAUGAAAGAUGUUCUACAAAAUUUGUCUUAUGAUGAUUGAGUUUGCUAGUUCUGAAACAUCGCUGGUAGGACGUUAAGAUGAUUAUUUGAUUCAUGGUGCUUAGUAAAACUGUAAUUAGAGAAGCAGUUUUUAGAAAGUCUGUUUUUGA